UCAAAAACAUCUCUCUUUGACUAUGGAGGAUAAAGAGUAGUCCCUGCCCGGUGAUGAGAAUUUUACGGCGGCGUUAAGCUUUAAAGUAGCGUGGUAAGUUGUCCCCUAAUUGGGGUCUGGUAUGAAAGGGUUGACGGGGGGGGUCUGUCUCAAGACUAUUUUACGAAAUUUCCUUCCUGGUUAAAAGUCCAGGAUUUUUUUAAAAGACGAGAAGACCCCGUCGAGCUUAAAUAAGUUUAUUUUUGAUUAGUAGGCUGAAUUUUUAUUGGGGCAAUAUUGGAGAAGGUAAAACCUCUAAUAAAUUAAAUCAUGGAUCCUCACAUUGGGAUAAAAGGAAAAAGCUACCGCGGGGAUAACAGCGCGAUUCAACCUGAGAGGCCUUAUUAAAGGUUGAGAUUGCGACCUCGAUGUUGGAUUAGAAGGUCGCUUUGGAGCAGAAGCUAAGGUGGAGGGACUGUUCGUCCUUUAAUUUUCUACAUGAUCUGA
RNAcentral lists this ribosomal RNA (486 nucleotides) under Laevicardium pictum. RNAcentral describes it as "partial 16S ribosomal RNA". It matches the Rfam family "Bacterial large subunit ribosomal RNA", at positions 1807 to 2608 of the family's 2925-position model. Lineage: Eukaryota; Metazoa; Mollusca; Bivalvia; Cardiida; Cardiidae. The record is from RNAcentral.